This 497-nucleotide ribosomal RNA is filed under the name uncultured bacterium. Its description in RNAcentral is "partial 16S ribosomal RNA". It matches the Rfam family "Bacterial small subunit ribosomal RNA", at positions 28 to 507 of the family's 1533-position model. The record is from RNAcentral.
GAUGAACGCUGGCGGCGUGCCUAAUACAUGCAAGUCGAGCGAACGGACGAGAAGCUUGCUUUUCUGAUGUUAGCGGCGGACGGGUGAGUAACACGUGGAUAACCUACCUAUAAGACUGGGAUAACUUCGGGAAACCGGAGCUAAUAUCGGAUAAUAUUUUGAACCGCAUGGUUCAAAAGUGAAAGACGGUCUUGCUGUCACUUAUAGAUGGAUCCGCGCUGCAUUAGCUAGUUGGUGAGGUAACGGCUUACCAAGGCAACGAUGCAUAGCCGACCUGAGAGGGUGAUCGGCCACACUGGAACUGAGACACGGUCCAGACUCCUACGGGAGGCAGCAGUAGGGAAUCUUCCGCAAUGGGCGAAAGCCUGACGGAGCAACGCCGCGUGAGUGAUGAAGGUCUUCGGAUCGUAAAACUCUGUUAUUAGGGAAGAACAUAUGUGUAAGUAACUGUGCACAUCUUGACGGUACCUAAUCAGAAAGCCACGGCUAACUACGUG